GACGUAGGGUGCAAGCGUUGUCCGGAUUUAUUGGGCGUAAAGAGUUCGUAGGCGGUUUACCAAGUCUGAUGUUAAAUACUGGAGCUCAACUCCAGCACGGCAUUGGAAACUGGUAGGCUAGAGUCUGGUAGAGGCAAGGGGAAUUCUCGGUGUAGCGGUGAAAUGCGCAGAUAUCAGGAAGAACACCUAUGGCGAAGGCAGCUCUCUGGGACGGUACUGACGCUGAGACGCGAAAGCGUGGGGAGCGAACAGG
This 253-nucleotide ribosomal RNA is filed under the name uncultured bacterium. RNAcentral describes it as "partial 16S ribosomal RNA". It matches the Rfam family "Bacterial small subunit ribosomal RNA", at positions 524 to 776 of the family's 1533-position model. The record is from RNAcentral.